This 592-nucleotide ribosomal RNA is filed under the name uncultured bacterium. Its description in RNAcentral is "bacterial SSU rRNA". It matches the Rfam family "Bacterial small subunit ribosomal RNA", at positions 32 to 542 of the family's 1533-position model. The record is from RNAcentral.
AAACGCUGGCGGCGNUGNUCUUAAGCAUGCAAGNUCGAGCGGCAGGCGCAGCAAUGCGCUGAGAGCGGCGGACUGGNUGAGUAACGCGNUGGGUAAUCUACCUUUGGCAUGGGGAUAGCCACUAGAAAUAGUGGGUAAUACCGAAUACGUUCCCUGGGGGGAGGUUUCAGGGAAGAAAGGGUGCUACGGCACCGGCCAAAGAUGAGCUCGCGUCCCAUUAGCUAGUUGGUGAGGUAACGGCCCACCAAGGCGAUGAUGGGUAGCCGGCCUGAGAGGGUGUACGGCCACACUGGGACUGAGAUACGGCCCAGACUCCUACGGGAGGCAGCAGCUAAGAAUAUUCCGCAAUGGACGAAAGUCUGACGGAGCGACGCCGCGUGGAUGAUGAAGGCCGAAAGGUUGUAAAGUCCUUUUGCCUGGGGAAAGAAUAAGUGUGGGAGGGAGUGCCCCGCCAUGAAUGAACAUGAAACCGGNCGAAAUAAGCCCCCGGNCCAACCUACGUGCCCAGCCAGCCCGNCGGNUAACACGUUAGGGGGGGCGAAGCCGUUUGUUUCGGAAAUUUACNUGGGGNCGUUAAAGGGGCCAUGUUAGG